UACAGGGGGUGCAAACGUUGCUCGGAAUCAUUGGGCGUAAAGCGCACGUAGGCGGUCUGUUAUGUCGGAUGUGAAAGCCCUUGGCUCAACUGAGGAAGUGCAUCCGAAACUGGCAGGCUAGAGUACUAAAGAGGAUCGCGGAAUUCCCGGUGUAGAGGUGAAAUUCGUAGAUAUCGGGAGGAACACCGGUGGCGAAGGCAGCUCGCUGGGACGUUACUGACACUGAGGCGCGAAAGCGUGGGGAGCGAACAGG
RNAcentral lists this ribosomal RNA (253 nucleotides) under uncultured bacterium. RNAcentral's name for it is "partial 16S ribosomal RNA". It matches the Rfam family "Bacterial small subunit ribosomal RNA", at positions 524 to 776 of the family's 1533-position model. The record is from RNAcentral.